Molecule: long non-coding RNA, 12907 nt
Organism: Centrocercus urophasianus (Greater sage-grouse)
Lineage: Eukaryota; Metazoa; Chordata; Aves; Galliformes; Phasianidae
Exons: 3
Source: RefSeq, a predicted model, not a curated record
AUGGCCAGGGUUUCCCAAAUAAGGCGGCGAGCGUGCCGUGUUCCGCUGGAACCCCGCUAGGCUGCUCUGGCCCCGGGCCGCGCCGAGGUAACGCCGCGGCCUUUUAAGGAGUCGGCAGCACGAGGGGGUGAUGGACGAUCGCGCUCUUUGGAAGGAGCCUCAGCGGUCUUGUUCCCAGCAGAACAAGAAGAAGACGAAGAGGAAAAAAAAAUCCAACACUUUCAUUUCUUAGAUAAAACAAAAAUCUGACCUUUGAAACUUCAAAGUUGGCAUCCAGGUUUGCCAUAAUGAGUCACACGUCUCUGCUACACUGGAGGAAAAACCGCUGUACUGAAUGCAGUAGGAAAUGCAGGCUGGUGUGUGCACAGCAGGUAACUCAUCAGCUGCAAACCUGACAGGUAGAUGCACCUUUCUACUGAAAGCAGAAGUGCAGUCAGCUGCACAGCUGCCCACUUGCUGGAGUGUGAGAGAAGGUGGGGUUUGCAAAGCUGCAAAGCCAGGUCAGGUUUGAAAUAACUAGAUGCAACUUAGGAGAUGCAUUAAAGGAGAUGCAACUCCUUUAAUGGUGCUAAUAUGUAUAUUUAUUUUAGAAGAGAAAGUUCUUGCAGUGUGGAUCCAAUCUACUCAUUUAUGAGCUCUUGGUUCACAGGCACCUCUGGGAGUUUCUGAAUGUGUUUGUGUCAGUCCAAGAAGGAACAGGCUGUGCUGGGCAGUGCAGAGGGUCUCAGUUGUCUGUGGCACACAUGGUGGGGUCACAGAGCCUGAAUCAAACUGCACUCAAAUUCAAACAAUUGCUUAGGGUAUUAUUCAAACAAAAAAAGUUUGAACUAGGUUUAAGGACUUAAUAAAUUAUGGAUGAGGAUUGAACUGUAUUUGCUGGUAAAUGGAAAAAGAAUGAGAAAUAAAGCUUGUGUUUGUGGAGCCCGCGUUUCUGGUAGGAGGUGAUGGUCAUGUCAGGGCAAGGCUCCGGGUUUGCAGUUGUGAACUUCUGUGGGCGUACUAAUUCCUUCCUUAAUGACACUCUGCAUUUUUAUCACUUCCUUCUUUUACCUGAUAAAUUAGUUCCACUGCUCACUCCCAUAGUGUGUGGACAGUGAUACAGUGAAGCUCAAGGUUGCUCUGAGCAAGCAGGAAACAGAAUGUAGCAGGGUUCCUGUAGUGAUGUGGAGUGGCGGAGGUGCUACAAAGUUUCACGAGUGCUUUGGGCAUAUUUGCAAUUCCCCCCGGACAGCAGGCCAGCUGGAUUCUGGCUAUGUGGGGGGUUGAGCGUGUUGAGUAAGUGCUUUGUUCAGCCAAGCGUCAAGAAAGGGAAAGACUGCAAAUGCCUCUGCUGCGAGUGGUUCAAUCAUGCAGUGCUCGAACUGAGGGAUGUGGCUGCCAUCCUGGCCUGCUGCUGUAGCCUCUUCUGGAACAUAAUUUCCAUGGAAUUCUUUCCCUCUGAAUUGGAGAUUGCUCGUAGCUCAGCAAAACGCCGCUGCCACAUUUGCAGAUGUCCAGUGAUCAUCAAGAUGAUGACUUUUUUUUUCUUGUAAGUCUCCUCCUUGUUCACCUUUAGAAGUCAUAGAUUGAAGAGAAGGGGAUGAGCACAGUGGUCACUGCAGCAGACGUGUUGCAGUUGAGAAAAAAAUGCUGUGAAGUUCAGUUUUGUCAGUUGUUCUCUGAAAGGUGUGGGGGGAAACUAACCCAUGAGACAGCCCAAUGGCUGCAAGAUGCUUUCAGCUCAGUUCCUACUGAUCAUGGCAGGCUGGAAUGUAAGCAACAUCAGCUGCAUGGACUGUGCAUCAGCUGCAUGGUGCUAAAGCAGUAGCUUGUUUAUCCUCCUGGUCUUACUUGUGCGUGGUGUUAAUGAAGUCAGAAAACAACCAGAACUGUAACAUGAAACUUUAAAUGGCUUGCAUGGCUUAUGUGACUUGGUAAUAGUCUUGAAAGAGGUCAAAAUCAAAUGUACAGAGAGAAUCCAGCCUGUUUAUCCCAGUUCUGUUCCCCAAGCAGCAGGUCACUGUGCAGCUUAUUAGUGUCAUGUAGCUGCUCACCUCAGCAAGCUGGGCUUCUUGCAGCUGCUCUCUGCCUGAGGAAUUUUUGCAAGAGGAAGAACAGAAUUGUCAACUUCUGGCCAGGAAUCACAUCAUUAAUCCAAGCAGUCAUGUUCCUGCUUUUAGUGUUCAUACCUUUAGAAGGUGACAGCCAUUAACUUACACUGUGCUUCAUAAGUGUGUUUAUGUUAGGAUUUAUUUGUUUGUUUAAUGAUAUUCUGCUUUGUUGUUUUGUUUUGUUUUGUUUUGUUUUUCCAAAAAAUGCAUGCACCCUACUAGAAAAUUUCCUAGGUUCUCAUCCUUUUUAAAAACAUCUUGGCCUGAUUUGCUGUCAUCUUAGUUUAGCUCCUAACUAGGUGGGGUUCCAAGGAGAAGAUGGAAGUAAUGUCUAAAUGUGGCAAUGAGAGUGGAGAGCUUUGAGCCUUUCACUGAACCCACGAACACACAGUGCAAUGGGCCUCUUGGCUGUAGCACAGCAGGAAUAUUCUAAGUGAAGUUUUUUCUCUACCACAGAGAUUCUUAUGAAAUAAAUUAGCCAUGCUAUGGAAAUAGUACAUAAGCACCCUUCGGAUUAUGAGAAGGCAUUUCAGUUUUACAGUUGUAAUAACAGUACAUCUUCAUGUGAUGUUGCUCAGAUCUGGAUGUCAGACACUUGUGCUUGCUAUGUAGGUAGGGCGGUUCUGCUGCCAGAAAUGAAGCACAGCAUAAACCAAGCAUUAUAAAAGUUAGUCUAGAAAAUGUAACCUAGACUUAUGUACAGAAGUCAAAAUGCACGUUUUCUUCCCCUAAGCAGACGAGAUGUAAAAGUGCUCUUCCUUCUAGAGCUUUGACAUAGAAAGUUCUGGAAAUGAAUGAAUGUGAAUUUAAAGCUUAUCAUCUGUAGCCUUUUAGUAAAUAUGUACCAUAUGCAAUACUGACUUGCUGUGGGUAGUGUGCCAAGCACAGCUCCUAAGGCUGCCUAAAACCACAAAGUGGGUAAUUGCUGUAACAGACCCUCACUGAGCACGUGGUUCUGCACCUGGCCAGCUUAUGGUUUCAAGUCUUGGGGCCUCCCCACUUGCUCUAGGUUAGCAUAUCUAUGCAUUGCUGAAUAAUUGCAUGAAAACUGUAGUUAAUAUGGGUAGUUGUAUGAGGAAUACUGCUUUCAGUGGUUUGGGGUUUUUUGAAGAAGGAGGUGUUUUUGUUUUGGUUUGGUUUUGCAUUGUUCUACAAAGGUCUCUGCUGACUCUUCAGCUGCUGGACAGACUUCUGAAGUGUUCUGUUUAUUUCACAUCAAGAGACAGGAGGCCUUGUGUCUACUGCUGGUCUAAGAGUUUGGCAUCCCUAACCAAAGCAGUAGCUGAGGCGUGGUAUCCCUGUACUUAGCCCAUCCUAUCCCCUUGCUCUCACUUGCUCCGGGAAUCCUAUGGAGCCGGGAAAGGCAGCAGAGUAGAGGGGAGGGAGGGGACACAGGCGCAGCAGUAUGCCCUGUGCCCUGCCCGAGGGACCUCAGUGGGUACUGGCAUCCCCCAGCCAGGGAGCAACACAUUAUUCUGCCAGUGCAUAUAAAUGGUUCUGAGUUUGCCCACUGUGGAAGAACAAGGCUAAAGAAAAGAGAGCAAUGGCAGGAAGGAGAAGAAAACAGCUGAGAUAAAGGCGAAUGAAAUCAGCACUAAAUAAUAAGAGAAGAGGGAGCAAGUGGGGCCUAUGAACAGAGUGCUGUAAUGGGAUUGGAGCUGCAAUUUGAUUUUUGGUAGCAGACUGCAGUUGUGAAGUAAUGCCUGCCUUAGGUCAGCUCGGCUCUGGGAGCAGUGUUUUGUCCAUGGCCUAUGAGCCUGGUGGCACCACAGUUGUCUCUCAAACUGUCCCUGCCUCCUGCUUUAAUGCUGCACACUCACUGGUUUCUUCUCAGUGCCUUCUUUACAUACUCAGCCCUAUUGGAAAUUUUGCUUUUUCUGUGUUAUCCCAGAUUUCCACCAGGUUGGGUAACAGAACAAGGGUUCAGUUUUUUCACUGGAGUGUGUGCAUAUCAUUCACUGCAACUUCUGUGGCUGAGGUGAUUCUAGUCUGGGCAUUUCUGGUGUUUAGCCCUACCCCUGUUCCAGGAAAGUUUGUUUCCUGGUUACUUUGAGUUGACACAGUAUUUAUAUCAGAAUCGGAAAGUCUCCAAGGAGAUUUCAGGCACUUCUUUACGUAAAACAAAUGAACUGCAGACGUUUGAACACAAGAGAUUUUGUUUUCAUGUUCCAGAGUGUGGUUCUUUGUUUCAAGUAAGGUUUCUCUCUCUUUGCCUUAGUCAGCAUACCUCACAUACCUGUCAAAUUUACUGAGAUGUUCUAGAAAAUGUCUUACCUACAUCUCCUGGCUCUCAGUUGUCUGGUGCUGGCAAUAUCUGUAUACAGCUUUGAGUAGGCAGAAGCUGCUACUCAACACCAUCUCAUCAAGGGCCCAAAGUCAUCAGCUUUUACAUCUGAUGGCAUAUUGGGUCUUGAAUUUGUUCUGCUAUAGGGUUUCAUGAGGGCAAUUAUGUUGCUGCAGGCAGAAAUAUGACUAAGCUGCUCUGGUGUAGAACUUUAUGUCCAUUUAUCAGUUAUAUGUAAAAAUAAUUGUAUUCUUCAUUUCCUCUAUGCCAUCCUAGGUGAGAAAGAUGAAGAUAUAGUAGAGAUUACAGUAAAGAAGUAUAGGUAAUUAAGUUGUAAGGGAAAACAUACCCCACUCUAUUGAUGUAAAUUUGGAAUAUUUUGAGCAAAACUGUUCUUCUGGAAAGUUUUGGAUUUGAAUUCUGUUUCUGGUUUGUUAUUAUCAUUGUUUCCUUGUGUAUUUUUGUUUGUUUGUUUAUUUUAUUUUGCCUACUAACUUGAAAUUUAAUUUUUAAUCCCUGAAUGGAUUUAAACUCCUCUGCAAAGCUUUACAAUGCACCUGCUGAGAUGAAGCUGGCACCAAGCCACACAUACUGACCUGACCCUUUCCCAUCCACAUUUAGUCAGGUGAGUAACUUUCCCCACAUAAAGGGUUGAACAAGCCUCCUAGUGUCUGUCUUACACUCAGCUGUUAAUUUGAAGGUGUUAACAUGCACCAUCUGGUCCUGCAAGGAUGGGAUUAGUCAAGCAUAUCAUUACCACUAAUAACUUGUUGAAUGAAAAGUAAAAAUGAAAGCUGAGGAAAUCUGCUAGGGUGUAACUGCUCCUAAAUUAACUUUCCAGCAUUUCUGUCUUAUGGAAUGUCCUAUUUGCCAGGAAACGUGAAGAACCAAUGAACAGAUGACACACAAAAAAGUGUGGGUUUUUUUUUCCUGCUGUCACUGUGGACUGCUCCUUGUUCUCUGUCCCUUGUCUCUGCCAGCCCACAGGACAGAGCUGGCUGUGCAGCUGCAGAAGUCCUUUUCCAGCCAACAUGCCCACAUUGUGACCUUUGCCACAGAACCAAAGUCUCUGUGGAGAGAACAAUCAUCCUUGUUCAUGCUUUUGGAGAUGCUUCUGUCAAAACCGAAUUGCUCAGGUAAGUAAGGAUAUUGAGAAAUUGGGGGAAUAUUUUGUUAUAAUCCUAAUACUCACCUUAAAUACCGUGACAAAAGGUCUUGUGUGUUUUUACACUGAGAUAAUAGAAAUGAGAGAUUCCUGAUUUUCAAUCUUUUUGUGAUGGCUUUCCUCUAUACUAAUUGUCUACUCUGUCCCAAGGGAAGACAUCUUUCAGGAAGGUGGCAUUAACUCACAAGCACCGAUGACAUACUGAUAAUGUUAAAGUGCUACAGGUUCCUGCCAUUGCCAAAUUCCAGCUUUCUUAAUGGCACAGUUAUAUAUUGCAUGGGCAAAAAACGUUUUCCAUCCUUCAGCCAAGAUUUUAAUAAAGAAAUGCUUUUGACAUCUAUAGUCUGCUUUCAGGCAAUCGCUGUUGUGUUUUGAAUGAAGGAGAAGAUGGUGAGUGAGAUUUCAGUGGCUGUUAAAUAGCCUGUGUUCAUUCCUUCCCUUAAAAAUAAUAUUAGAAAUCAGUUUUUAUAUAGUGUUGAGAAGGAGGGAACUGUUGAGCACAGAUUACUUCAAGUAUGAAAUGCCCAUUCUGUUUUAUGUAGUCGGGAAGUAGAGGUACGAGCUGUUGUCCCUCAUUAACAAGAGCCAGAGGGGCUGCGGAGAAACUUAAUGCUCUAGCUAAUUUCUGGAGUAAUAUUCUACAUGCUACUCAUUUUCCAUCCAGCAUGAACAUGUGCAUUCUGACUCUAUUUACAUGAAAGCACAGCAAAGUGUGGAUGACACACCUCCACACCGAGGCCCGGCGCAGGAAGGGGUCUUGCUUUUCAGCCAGAUUCUUUCUAGGUCACCAGUGCUUUGAAUGAAGAUGUCAGAAUCCUGCAUCUGUUCUCCUAUCUUGCCAGAUGUCUGAAGGUGAGAUAAGAGGCUUCAUGCAGCGAAGGAAAAAAAUUUAUCUGUACUGUGGUUUUUUUGUGAGUCAGCUAAAAAAAAAUAAAUAAAUCAGGCCUCCCUUGGAAAACUGAAUGAAAUGAAGAGGUUUCACUUGGCUGGGAUUUACCUAUAUUUAGUAAAGAAUUCAACAAUACACUAGAAAGAAUAUCCUCUGUUUAACUUCUUUUAAACCUUUUCUUUUGCUGACCUGAAAAUAUGAGUGUGCUGCAAAUAUUGCCAAAAUUAUGAUUGUCUUCAAAAUCUUUUGAGAAGAACUGACAGUGGCAGCUAAUAUCUCCAGCAGAAUGUUGUGGUUUGGCUUUGAUUUGUGGUUAGCUGUGGCUAGAGUGGCAGCUGGAGGUACAAUUUGCAGAAGUACUUCCAAAAUCAUGAUUCAUUUCCAGUUGUAGUUGGACAGAUUGAACUGGGUUCAGGCUUGGUUUGAUUCCCUCUUCUAAAAUACCUGUAUCUUGUACUGUUUCUGCAUUUCAAAGGUUCUCUUGUUCUCUCCGCUGUCAUAGUUACGCUAUUGUAAUUCUUUCAUAAAGAAUGGCUCUAGAAGGCCAAUAAAUAAAUAAUUCAUAUAUUCAAUACCCCCUAAAUAUCUGCUUUCUGGAUAGCUUGAAGGCUGUAUGUUAGCAGGAGGCUUGGGUUACUCUGGGACAUUUUUUAACUGACAGUCACACUUUUAAAAUGAAUAAUCGUGUUUGAUCAUAAUAGCAGCCAGUCUGCAAGGACUCAUAAAUUCCACUGAGUUACCAGAGAUAUAGUUUAGUCUCCUUGGAAUCCAUAAUGCAUUUUUAAUCGGACUAUUAUGGUCUAUGGUACCUGCAUAUUCCAUUGAAAGUUUGAAAAACUUUCUAUUAUAAUUCAAUAGAAACCUAAAGAGUCAUAUAUCCUUCUUGGGUUUCUUGAGCUUAUUUUCUUGGCUUGUGGUAACUCCCAGAGAAUGGAGAAAGGGCUUUACUUUUUUGACCUGCUUCUUCAGUCAUUUGCUUUUCCUCACUGAACUUUCCUUUAACAGUAAUAAACUCUUUGUUCCCUCUCUUGCUCUGUAACAAUUUGAAUGCUUGUUGUUUUGAAAGCCUUUUGGGGGGAGUAACACUCCAACCAACACUGGGUGGGUUAACGCAUAAGGUUAUGUCUGCUCGAGAAAGUACUGUGAAUAUUUCUAAAGGAAGGUCAGUAGGUCUGAUAUCCACACUACUCAUUUCAGGGAUUUCUUUUCAAUAGGAUGAAUCUAGUUUAGCUAGUUGGACUGAAUGCCCUGUAGUAGUCAGAACACAUUUCAGGGCAUGAGAGAUUAGGGCAUGUUGUGUGUGCUCUGACAUAUGAACAAAAACAAGGGAGAACAGUCACAAGAUUUACAUGGAAAUGUUAAAAAAACUGUGUAAAAAAUGUUACAAUCCAGCUGUUGUGUAGGUGCACUUACCUGGGAGCACUGCAUGCCCUAAACUGUUUCUGUGGCUAGCUGUGUAGAGAAGAUACAGUAUAUCUGUAUUUCCUCUGAGAUGGUCUUAGGACUGACAGCAAAUUCCUCUCAUUCCCCUCCCACCUAUUCAGGAUGGAUUUCAGCAGUGUUCUCUUACAGCUUUUUUUUUUUUUUUUUUUUUUUUUUAACGCAUUUUUGCCUGUGGAAUUUGAAAGAAAGCUAAAAACCCAGCAUUACUGUUAAUAAGAGUUUCAAAAUCACAAGCUGUCCCUCCUGUGCUUUUGCGGGACAUGGAAUAUUGCAUGAAUCCUUGCUGCACUGGCAUUCCAGCAGCUUUUCUGUGUACAGCUUGUCUUUGCUCAUACUUCUCUGCUUCCUCCAUUUUGUAGUUUAUUUAUCCCUUCUGCAAGGCCCAAAAGGAUCUAUGCUAUGAAUAAUGGCCCAACUUGGUCCUGAUAAUCACUUAUUUGCUUGGAAUGAAAUUAAAACUAUUCAUUAUUUGACACAGGACACUGAACAGCCAUCAGGUCAGGAUGUUGUCAGUGAUGUGGGGUAAGUUACACCUAACAAGGGCAGAAGAAAAUGAUCCUAUAUUAUUCUCUUCAGGUUCUAAAAAUAAUGUUUUUCUUUAGCGACUCUCAGCUGAACAGUACUCCAGAAUUACUAACUAUUUUAUCAAUAUAUAAGGGUGAGCGCAGCCACCAGAGAAGUGUUAUAAAACCAGCUGGGUAGGUACAUAAGCUGAACAACUUGACCGUGGGUAACAGUGGCCCCAUGGCAGGCAGAGCCAGCCAAGGCAGUGACCUAGAAUUUUGUACUCGAGCUACUAAACCACAUAGAAACAAUUUGAUGAGUGUCCUUUCACAAUGGAGAUGCUGGAAAUACAUUCUCUCCCUUGAAAAAAAUGUUCUACGUUUGGGAUGCAGAGUUCUACACUGCCUUUUCCACUGAAACAAGAACAGUAUAUAUUAAAAAAAUAAAAUAAAAUAAAAUCUGAGAAAGCUGGCCAGUUCUGAUUUUUAUGUUUUUGUUCCAUUGAGUUUUGACUAAAAUCUGGACACAUGAAGAAUAUUUCUCCUUCAGGUCACCGAACUGCGGAUCUCUGAGCUGGUUCCUUCCCCUUUUUCUGGGCUGCUGAAGAUGGUGGUGCUCCCUGGGCUGUAAGGAUGACAUCUUCUGAACCAUUCCCUUUAUCCUGUUUUGCAACACAAGUUUAAGGGGAACAGUUUCCUCUGUUUAUUGCGAUUGAAGAGUGGCUGUGUUUAGAAUGAAGGGCAGCACUGGGGAUGUGUGAAAGCCUUUAUUUGUGUUCUUCUUUUCUUUUUGCACUCUUCAGGCAGUGUUGCCAAGUUGCACCUCUCUUAAGUGUGAGAAAGAACAGCACUGCAAAGCAGUGACUUUAAAGAGCCUGGCUGCAUUUUGGCACCUGGUCACUGGAGAUGGAAUGUGUUUAAAACCUUAAGCUCCCUCCAGCUGUCUGUGGUAUACUUGUGGAAAACAACAAUAAUGCUUUUCCUGUUCUUCCUAGAGCCAAAUAUGUCUGUUACAGUCAAGUAACAGAGCAGUGUAAUCUAGUACUGAUAUCCCUUCAAGCUAAACAGGGCACCAUGGGAAGGGAAAGGAAACCAAAAUGUUGGGCUGUGGCUCAGCUUUGCUUGGCCACGCAUGUGCUUGUGGCUUCCCAGCGCCUGCCCAGGCCCUGCUGCUCCAAGGAUAAGACAGUGAUUUACGACAAGCUUUGUACUUUAAACAAUUUUUCAUUUGAAGUUCUGCUCUUACUAUCCAACUUAUCCUCUUACAGCGAUGAAGGUACAGGCUACACAUGAGGGGAGUAUUGUUAUUUCUGCGGGAUAUUAUUUAAAAUAAAUUUUUUUAAAAAGUAAAAAAAGAAAAUCACCCUAGCUUGUGGUGAGAGCUCUGUUUGCAAACCAUUUUCCUACAUUUUACGUGGAAUACCUCCAGCUCCCUCUUUUGCAUUGGUUGUCUGUGACACGUUCCCAGAACUAAUAAGCCCCUCUUUUUUCCAACAAGAUGAAGGCUCCGGGCCUGCUAUAAUUGCUCCCAACAUCCUGACUCUACCUGGAAUGCUUCCAUCUCCUGGAACAAGCCCAGUGUCUGCUCUGCAAACCACAGUGUCCAUAGUUUUGGUUGUUAAAAAUACUAAAGAUAUACUUUCUUAAAUGUACCUGUAUGAGAGUUCAAGUGUUGACAGUUCCUACUAGCAUAUGAAGCACAUUUAUUUGAUUUUGACUUUACGCUUGAUGCCCGUUAACAUUUUAAUUUAAAGAUUUUAUUUUACAAAGUUGAUAAAUCUUUUAUUUAAUGACCUUAAUCCUUGUGUCCUUUGCAUAACAACAUUUUAGGUAUUUAUACUGCAUUUCAGUACAAGACACCACAGAAUGUACUUUUCAUCUUAAUUCCUCCUUGUUUCUCUACUUCUCUUUGGAUGAGUGUUGCUUUGUGUAUUUGCUUGCCCUGACAGAUUUUGUGACGAUGGCAACUUUGAAAUCCCAGGCAAAAAAUGCUAUGUGGCUGAGAGACUUGUAUUAACUUUAUAGGAGAGCAGAACUCCCAGCUCUUUCAACAAGCAGACGUGUGAGAAAAGUGGAUGCGUAUGUUACAGCAGGCAUGAGAUCUGCUGCCCACAGGACACUGAGUGGGGCUGAGGCAGGCUUGGUGUGGUCUUGUGAUGCUGAGGGCAGCUGCUGGUUUCAGUGAAUAAGGAUGGCUCUGGGCACUUUGUCUGUUGAUUUCUUUCUCGUGAAAGUAGCAGGCAGCUCUGAGAGCAUGGUGUCUGGUUCCCACUAGUUGCAGUCUGGAUGUGAACCAGUGACCCGGCUCACAAGUUCAGAGCUGUUAACCCCAUGCAACUCCUUUUACAUUUUAAAAUGGUACAGACCAAAAGCAAACGAAGGACACAAAGCUGAGUAAGUCAUCGCUUAUAUACUCUGCCACUAGAGCAUUGGAUUUGUUUACUUUUCGUAUUUGCUCUUUUGCAUUUAGCUGCUGCUGUGUUGCCAUCAGCUUCUUGAUCAGUGCAGGGACAUCCUGGCCUGCCCAGCACAGCCACUGGGGUAGGAGGGUCUCAGACAUGGUGUGAAGCUCUCUGCCAGGCUGGCCUUGCAGGUUACCUUCUGCUCCUGACUUAAGGAUGAAGUGGGAAUCACUCAACUUUUCCCACUAUUACUGAGUUAUUGUAAUUAGUCAUUGGCAGUUUCUUUGUCCUCAUCCAUUGGGAUGGUGCCUCCCACUCCCUUGCUUUGGCCAAUGGUUACUUAAGGCUCAGUGACUGUUUCUUGCUCUACGUGUGCAGUCAGUUAAUAUCCUGAAACGAUCUUGAUGAUCUGUCAGCAGUUUGUGCAGCUAUUCCUUCUGAGCUUUCACUCAACAUAAAGCAUGAUCUCAGUAUAGUGGCCUGUGGUGAGAUUUUCGUUAAAUUUUAUUUCCAGUAAUUUAGGAUUAGGUUAGAUUCUGUGAAAGAUGAUGUACAAAUUAGACCAAAAAAUCAGUUUCUAAUUUUUGACAGGAAAAGACUACUUUACCACUGACAAUUUUGUUUCAUAUUGUUUUCACUUGACUGUAUCGUCCAAUAUCUGACACAUCAUGUUAGACCUUGAGAUUUAGCUCAUAUUAGCUCCACUUUGAGAAUUUGUCCAAAGCUCCCUGUAUUUAUUCUUAAUCUCUAGGGUUGCACUAGGAAAUUCAUCAUUCAGAUGGCUCUGUUCCUGACCUAUUAUUAUUAUUAUCUGUGUAUCUUGUUUUACCAUUUUGAAAACAGUUUUUGUCUAAAUCUCCUAGUCACAUCCUUCAGUGCUAAGAUAGCCUGAGAUUUUAGCUACAGAUUUCAAGCAUUGCUAUGUGAUUGCAUAGCUGUUGAGAUGAAGGGGGAUUAGUAUAGUUUAGCCUUGAUUGUAUAGGUCAUUGGAAAUCAUGUAUUGGUAGAGUAACAAGCUAUAAGAAUUCAUCCUUUGGUCAAGUCACAAUGCAGCUUAUGUAGACAACAACUCAGCAGUAUUUUUUCCCAUUAGUAAACCACUGACCUUAGGCUCCCUCUAUGGUACCACUCUUCUCAAGUGUGGUAAUGUAAUUCUGUUUGGUACACAGCACCUAUGCAUCCUGUGACUUUAUCAAAUGAAUGCAUAAGCAUCUUUGACUUGGAAUUCUUGGCCACUCAGUUUUCUAAAAGUAUCAGUAGCUUUAUCUGCAAUGGCAAAUAGACAGUGAAUAUCUGUACUUAAAUAGUUGGACCAAAAAAACUGCAUCUAUUUCUGUAAAUCCCUAAAGUGAACUGUGAAAUAGUUGCUACUACUGUGUAAUCCUCUUGUAAUCACCUGUAGUGCUUGCUGAAGAAAUGCAAAUUUUCCAAACUUUAUAAGCAAAAUCAAAACCAGGCUGAGUACAGUUCAAUAGUUGUGAUGUAGAGACCUGAAUUCUGGAGUCAAUGCCAUGUACUGAUGCAUGAUUUCUCCCAAACUGCUGCAUGAAAUGUAUCUGAUUGCAUCUCUGCAGGAUGUUUUAACUACUGUAUGUCAGUAAAACUUGUUGUUUGGAAUGUAUCAAUAGCAACUGUAAUUUUGUUCAUUUGUCAGCAAUAGUCAGGAUUUAGGAACAUUAUCUCCUUUAGACUUGGAUAACAAAUCCAUAGUGAGAGGGCAUUUUUACCUAUCUCAGAAGCUUGUUAUAUCUAGAUUUAUUACUGUCUGCAAAGAAAUGUGAGAUCUUGCAGGAGCACCCUCUAGAAAUCUGAACUUUCUGAAAACAUUUUGGCUAUUUUUCCACUUUUGAAUCAGUGCCCAAACUUUUCCCCCUCUUUUGAGAUGCUGUUUUCAUUGCUGCACCUGCCAGUCUCUUUGUUUUCCCUCAAAAUAAUGUGAUAAACUAAGAAAUCUUAAAGCUUUCAGUUGCUGAAGUAUCUUCUUAGACACGAAACUUUGCAAUGCCUGUUACUGCUUGGGUUAAGAAGGGGGGCAUUGUUGCUUAGAGAGCUCCCAUAAAUACUGUGUUGAAGCAUCUCAUAAAGAAAAAAUGCAUACUGGGAAAUAAUCAACAGUGAUUCAUUGAUUUCU